Molecule: long non-coding RNA, 2754 nt
Organism: Beta vulgaris subsp. vulgaris (sugar beet)
Lineage: Eukaryota; Viridiplantae; Streptophyta; Magnoliopsida; Caryophyllales; Amaranthaceae
Exons: 3
Source: RefSeq, a predicted model, not a curated record
UGCACUUCCCAUGAUUUAUUUUGUCAACCAAACAAGGCUUUAGUAAUAGAACACUCUCACGCAUACGCUUGUGCCUAAGCUACACGGCUACACCUUUAGAAACUCUCAGCUUCCCUCACUCAAGCGCAAAUUCCGAGGCUCGAAUUGCAGAGGUUUUGCUAUUCUGAUUGCCCUCAAGAAAUACGUUCCUCUGCUUCUCUCUACACAAUCUUUGACCUACAUUUCCUUGUACCUCUAGAACAAACAGGUGCCUCCUCUGUCUCCUUCAUUAUUAUUCCCCUCUCAAAUCCAAUGGAUAUAUUUGAAACAUGUCUCGAUCCUCAACAACAAAUUUCGAGCAACAACAACUCUAUUGAUGAAGAUAUUUUCAGUUCUUCUAUAAACUUAGAAGAAUGCCACAUUAACGACGGUUACAAAGAUGGCUAUAAAGAUGGGCUUGCCUUGGGCAAGCAAGAGGGCUCCGAAGUGGGUUUAAAACACGGGUUUGAGUCUGGUGAAGAGCUUGGGUUUUACCGUGGUCUCAUUGAUGUUUGGACCUCAGUGGUUCGAAUUGAACCCAGUUUCUUCUCUGCACGGAUCCAAAAGAGUAUACAUCAAAUUGAUGAGUUGCUUGAGAAAUAUCCAUAUAUGGAUCACGAAGAUGAGAGCAAAGAUGACAUUUUCAAAGAGCUUAGGUCGAAGUUUAAGGCUAUUGGUGCUACUUUAGGAGUUAAAUUGGAAUACAAUGGAUACCCAAAAAUGUCUGAUGCUCGUGAUUAUUAAUUUUCAGGCUUGAGGAAUGCAUAGUAGGUCACUGAAGUUGCAUUAUGAUGCUAAGGUUUUCUUUAAAAAAAAUUCUUACGAAUAUAGCCUUGUGGUAUUGGCUAUCCUCUCGUAUUGCUGGGGUUGAGACUAUGUGAUCUUAAGGGUUCAGUAAGAUGGGAUCAGUGGAUAUUUUCUAUAAACAAUAGGAACUUUACAUCUGUAUUGAAUUGUAGAACAGUGCUUAGCUUGAAAGAAAAUAAAGUUUCUAUGAAUAACCCUUACUUAGAAGCACAUGGAGCAGUACAAUUUGCUUGGUUUGAUGCCUACAUAGAAAGGUUUAGAUUCUGUAAAUCAAUGGAUUUAUACAGAAGAACUAUGAUGUAUGGAAAUCGUCUCUGAUAAUUUUACAUUCUCCAUCGGUAUUUGAUUUGAGAACUUCGAACCUUUUCAAGUACUCAACUUCUUUGGUUUUUGAGGUAAAAAUCUUAUAGGUUUUGCUGGGAUGAGUUUUGAUGAGCGUUGCAACUAUAGUAACACAGAGGAUUCCCUAUAUAGAUGUCUUAUUUGAUUAAAUUGUUCUUACCAUAGAUUUGAUACUAAACCUCUAGUAGGUCAUUAAAAAUAUUAAUUUAGUAUCCUUUGGCUUUUGGAUUAUGAUGUACCAAGUUAGGGGUUCAUUAUACAGCAGAUCCCUUUAUUUUAACAUAAUUAUUGAUGUAAUAAUGUGUAUUUCACUAUAUCCAAGAUGGAGCCUGCAUGAUAUGACAUCUGCUGGUUGCUGAUAAAGCUAUUAGAUAUGCAGAGUUUGUGGUCGUUAUUAGCUUGUGUGAGAAUGAUCUAUACAUGGCAGUUGCAAAACUAAUUUUGGCAUUUAUCUUUCCUGUAGAUUGGGAAGAUUAGUGGAAAAAAUAUAGAAUGCUAAAAACGACGCUUGCUUGUUGCAAGUUAUACAUAUCAGAAAGCUGCAUCAAAGCUUCCCUUGAGUCUAUCGAACGAGCUGCCAAGCUUUUGCAUGAAGCUAAACUUAUCAAUAAGUUCGAAGAUGAAACUUAUAAUAGAGUUGGUUAUACUCUUGUCUCUAAGCUACCUCCCAAGUUGCCUUCAGGUUUUUACCCUCUAAAAGAUGCUCCAUUUGCAAUGGUUGAAUCUGCUUACAAAGCAAUUGACUUUAAUGUGCAUAGUGGAAGCCAUCCUCGUCUUGGAGUUGUUGAUCACACAGGCCUUCACCCAUUGGCCAAUGCUACUUUGGAGCAAACGGCCAAUAUGCAAGGUCCUUGGCCAAAGAUAUUGGCACCAAGCUUGAAGUUUCUAUCUUUCUAUAUGGAGCAGCACAUGAGAAAGGACGGACUCUUGAUUCAAUAAGAAGAGAGCUUGGCUACUUUCUGCCCAAUACUCUUUAAGGAAAUAUAUGGGCUGGGGGCCGAAUUCAGAGAAUUCACCAUAUGCCCCGAUGAAGGGCCAAGUCAAGUUGAUCCAUCUAAGGGCGUGAUAGUAAUAGGGAGUACAAGAUGCGUGGACAAGUACAACGUCUCAAUCUUCUCAACUAAUAUAUCAGUUGUUCGUAGAAUUGCGAAAGUCAUUGGUGAAAGAGGAGGUGGGCUUCCAUCAGUGCAAGCUAUGGCACUUGUUCAUGGUGACGGGACCAUUGAGGUCGCUUGCAAUUUGCUGGAUCCGAGCAAGGUUGGAGGACAUAAGGUUCAGGUUGAAGUUGAGCGCCUUGCACGGGAAGAAGGUAUGGUUUCUGGAAAGGGUUACUUCACUAAUUUAACACAAGAAAAAAUUAUUCACAUUCUUGGAUUCUGAAGAUUCAUCUGUUGACCAUUACUCUAAUGACUUGUGACUUGUGACUUGUGACUUGUGAGUAGAACUACCCUACUAUUGGAUUGAAAUCAAGAUUAGAAACAUAUUUGGUGUUGCUACUUAUGUUCUUUUGUUGUAUUAUACUCUUGAGAGAAACAACAUGCAUUUAUUAGGCAACAUGUUGUAGCUAUAUUAUAUCGUCUUCGUUUU